CUCCAGAAUUACCUCUCUAUGCUGAUUAUAGGUCUGUUAACUGUUUAGAUUAUGUCUCUAGGAUGCUAAAUCCUGCACUAGUAGAGCUCACUGGGAUUCUCCCUUCUUCACCUAUACCUUCUCCUCCCCUUUGUGCUGCCUUGUGAUUGGUACUGGGGCUAUUCUCUCACUGUUCCACUAUCCAAAAUCUCUGUGUAUUUCCAAAUUUCAGUCUCUCCACUAUGGCAUUCCAGCAUUCUCUCAUGGUCACCCAUCUCAGUCUGCAGCUACACUCAUAUUAUUUUGAUUCUAACUUGUAGAGAAGCAGGUGUUAGGUGCCUCUAAUCCAUCAUCUUGAAUCUCUGGCAUCUGUUUCUUUUUAUUAUUAUUAUUCUUUUUAGAUAUGAAUGACAGUAAAGUAUAUUUUGACAUUAUACAGGCAUGAAGUGUAUCUUAUUCUAAUUAGGAUCCCAUUCUUGUGGUUGUACAUGAUGUGGAGAUUUACUGUGGUAUAUUCAUAUAUUAUGAACAUAAGAAAGUAAUGUUAGAUUCAUUCCACUAUCUUUCCUAUUCCUAUCUCUCCUCCAUUGCCUUCAUUCCCCUUUGUCUAAUCCACUGAACUUCUAUUAUUUCCCUCCCCCUUGUUCUGUGUUAGUAUCUACAUAUCAGAGAGAACAUUCAAUAUUUGGUUUUGGGGGAUUGGCUAUUUCACUUAGCAUGGUAGUCUCCAGAUCCAUUCAUUUA
This 723-nucleotide long non-coding RNA is filed under the name Marmota monax (woodchuck). Lineage: Eukaryota; Metazoa; Chordata; Mammalia; Rodentia; Sciuridae. The record is from RNAcentral.